UACGUAGGGUGCGAGCGUUGUCCGGAUUUAUUGGGCGUAAAGAGCUCGUAGGCGGUUUGUCGCGUCGUCCGUGAAAACUUGGGGCUCAACCCCAAGCUUGCGGGCGAUACGGGCAGACUUGAGUACUGCAGGGGAGACUGGAAUUCCUGGUGUAGCGGUGAAAUGCGCAGAUAUCAGGAGGAACACCGGUGGCGAAGGCGGGUCUCUGGGCAGUAACUGACGCUGAGGAGCGAAAGCGUGGGUAGCGAACAGG
RNAcentral lists this ribosomal RNA (253 nucleotides) under uncultured bacterium. Its description in RNAcentral is "partial 16S ribosomal RNA". It matches the Rfam family "Bacterial small subunit ribosomal RNA", at positions 524 to 776 of the family's 1533-position model. The record is from RNAcentral.